CCAGAUCCCUGUCGGUCCCGUCGCCCAGGCUGGAGUACAAUGGUGCAAUCUCGGCUCAUGCAACCUCCGCCUGCCUGGUUCAAGUGAUUCUCCUGCCUCAGCCUCCCAAGUAGCUGGGAUUACAGGUGUGUGCCACCACACCCAGUUAAUUUUUUGUAUCUUUUAAUAGAGAUAGGGUUUCAUUAUGUUGGCCAGGCUGGUCUCGAA
This 207-nucleotide long non-coding RNA is filed under the name Homo sapiens (human). RNAcentral describes it as "HSALNT0216775". Lineage: Eukaryota; Metazoa; Chordata; Mammalia; Primates; Hominidae. The record is from RNAcentral.